CCUUGAGCUUCAGUCAUAGGCCGAAUGGUUAAGGAAAUUAGCGUAGUCGAAGAAAUAUAUGGUUGAGGAAUCCACGUCAUAGCUUAACAUGUCUAGAAAGAAUCCUCGACGAGCUGGCCGAGAAAAACCAAAACGAGGUCAAAGUCUUGAAGCCCCGCUUACCGCUUCUCAUGGUACUCAGGAUAUAUAUGCAUGGCAAGCCGAAUGACCCCAUGGACGAUAGCACUAGCACUAGGCAAUAAUGCCUCACCGAGCUCGGCAUGUGUGUUAUAUACUAAUAACUAAUAAAAGUGAUUGAACCUUCUCAAGAAGGGCUUGUCUUGAACAUCAACAAAUGUAGGCCGACAAACACCAAGGCCGAGGUCUAGAAAUAUUCUAUUCGGCCAAUCUCUUUUUUUAUUAUUUACUCGACUUCGGUGACCUUUUACUUUUCUCAACCUUAGCGACCUCGACUUAAUAUACUGUUUCAAGUUGCCACCUUAUUUUAAGCCAUAUAUAUAUAUACACACACACAUACAUAUUAAACCUGAUAGUAUAUGUAGCCUGGCUGCUUAAUGUGAUGCCGAUGUAUAUAUAUAUUAAUCCUAUGUCAGCAAUGCACAUAAUCUCAACCGCAAUUAAGGCCGAAUUCUUUCCUACUUUUCUUGACUUAGGCCUAAUCCAAACCUAGGCCAAAAUGUUUUGUCUCGGCCCCCAUAAUUGUUUUUUUCUUUUCUUUUUAAGUCGAACCAUCAUGUGUUUGAAUGCUGCCCCCUUUAUUUUCUUAUUGUAUCGGCCUAAAAGGCCGAAUGUUUAAGAAAAUAAUAUAUUCUUCCUUUUAUUUUUAUUUUUUAAGCAAAAGCAAAAGAAAACAGCUGAAUAAUAAUCAGGAGGAGGCCAACGAUGCUUUACUCCAAGCCGAGAUCCUUGUAUUUCAAUAUAGCCAAUCAGAUUUUGUAUUGAGCCGAAUAACAAGUGAUCUCCAAAUAUUUUUGACUUGGCGAAAUAUUUUCCACUUUCGGCUGCCAAAUGUGUUGAACAAUUAUCAUGCCCCCUAGGCAUAAUAAUUUCGCUAAUUUCGGCUUUUAACUCGAACAACUUAGCCGAAUGAGAUUUCUCCAUAUCGGCUUUAUCCCCAAUAAUCAUAUCGAGUAGCAUAGUUUGUUAGACUAGGCCUAUGUCUCGGCCUUGCUUGUCAUUGGAGCACCCCUCUGACGAAUCAUUUUCUAAGUCGAUUUGUGGCUCAGAAACUUGAACUUUUGCUUCUAGGCCUACCAUAAUUUCAGUCUAGACUGAAAAAACAGGUGGCCUAGGUUCUUCUUUUACUGUCUCGACAAUGUUCUAAGGCCAAAUUUUAAUAGUGGCUGGAGCGAAAAAUUGCCCCCUAGCCUUUUGAGAGAAAGACUUUUGCCUUUCUUUAUUUUCUUCAAUGAUCCAGCCAAGAAGUUUUUGUUGCUCGACAAUUUCCUUGAAUAGGCGCCGAAUCUCAUCCUGAGCGUGAUCUUGAUAUAUCAUGUGAACUUCGUAGUUUUAGCAUUGGGUCCCACUGGGCAUGCCAAAAUGUUAACCCUAAAAACUACCAAGCCUACGUGGCGCGCAGGCCGAGUAACUAAUAAGCUAACUACGUCAUUCGGUUAU
RNAcentral lists this long non-coding RNA (1617 nucleotides) under Malus domestica (apple). RNAcentral describes it as "long non-coding RNA (MDOM_LNC002416)". The record is from RNAcentral. Lineage: Eukaryota; Viridiplantae; Streptophyta; Magnoliopsida; Rosales; Rosaceae.